CCUACGGGAGGCAGCAGUAGGGAAUUUUCGUCACUGGGCGCAAGCCUGAACGAGCAAUGCCGCGUGAACGAGGAAGGUCUUCGGCUCGUAAAGUUCUGUUGAAGGGGAAAAAGCGCGGAGAGAGGAAAUGCACUCCGAUUGAUAUUACCCUUCGAGGAAGUCAGGGCUAACUACGUGCCAGCAGCCGCGGUAAUACGUAGUUGGCGAGCGUUAUCCGGAAUGAUUGGGCGUAAGGGGUGCGUUGGCGGCCUGCUAAGUCUGGAGUGAAAGGUACCGGCUCAACCGGUACAGGCUCUGGAAACUGGCGGGCUAGAGAGCAGGAGAGGGCGGUGGAACUCCAUGUGUAGCGGUAAAAUGCGUAGAUAUAUGGAAGAACACCAGUGGCGAAGGCGGCCGCCUGGCCUGUUGACUGACGCUGAGGCACGAAAGCGUGGGGAGCAAAUAGGAUUAGAUACCCCUGUAGUC
RNAcentral lists this ribosomal RNA (465 nucleotides) under uncultured bacterium. RNAcentral's name for it is "partial 16S ribosomal RNA". It matches the Rfam family "Bacterial small subunit ribosomal RNA", at positions 338 to 795 of the family's 1533-position model. The record is from RNAcentral.